AGAGUUUGAUCCUGGCUCAGGAUGAACGCUGGCGGCGUGCCUAACACAUGCAAGUCGAGCGAUACGGUUAAAAGUGAUUCUUCGGAUGAGUGAUUAACUAGAAAGCGGCGGACGGGUGAGUAACGCGUGAGUAACCUGCCCCAUACACAGGGAUAGCCAUUGGAAACGAUGAUUAAUACCUGAUAAUACUAUUUUAUCACUUGAUUUAAUAGUCAAAGAUUUAUCGGUAUGGGAUGGACUCGCGUCUGAUUAGCUAGUUGGUAAGGUAACGGCUUACCAAGGCGACGAUCAGUAGCCGACCCGAGAGGGUGAUCGGCCACACUGGAACUGAGACACGGUCCAGACUCCUACGGGAGGCAGCAGUGGGGAAUAUUGCACAAUGGGCGCAAGCCUGAUGCAGCAACGCCGCGUGAACGAUGAAGGCCUUCGGGUCGUAAAGUUCUUUUCUUGGGGAAGAAAAAAAUGACGGUACCUAAGGAAUAAGCACCGGCUAACUACGUGCCAGCAGCCGCGGUAAUACGUAGGGUGCAAGCGUUAUCCGGAAUCACUGGGCGUAAAGGGUGCGUAGGCGGCCUUGCAAGUCAGAAGUGAAAGGCUACGGCUCAACCGUGGUAAGCUUUUGAAACUGUAAGGCUAGAGUGAAGGAGAGGAAAGUGGAAUUCCUAGUGUAGAGGUGAAAUUCGUAGAUAUUAGGAGGAACACCAGUGGCGAAGGCGACUUUCUGGACUUUAACUGACGCUGAGGCACAAAGCGUGGGGAGCAAACAGGAUUAGAUACCCUGGUAGUCCACGCCGUAACGAUGAAUACUA
RNAcentral lists this ribosomal RNA (809 nucleotides) under uncultured bacterium. RNAcentral's name for it is "bacterial SSU rRNA". It matches the Rfam family "Bacterial small subunit ribosomal RNA", at positions 8 to 818 of the family's 1533-position model. The record is from RNAcentral.